AUUGAACGCUGGCGGCAUGCCUUACACAUGCAAGUCGAACGGUAACAGGUCUUCGGAUGCUGGCGAGUGGCGCACGGGUGAGUAAUACAUCGGAACGUGCCCAGACGUGGGGGAUAACGAGGCGAAAGCUUUGCUAAUACCGCAUACGAUCUAAGGAUGAAAGCAGGGGACCGCAAGGCCUUGCGCGUUUGGAGCGGCCGAUGGCAGAUUAGGUAGUUGGUGGGAUAAAAGCUUACCAAGCCGACGAUCUGUAGCUGGUCUGAGAGGACGACCAGCCACACUGGGACUGAGACACGGCCCACACUCCUACGGGAGGCAGCAGUGGGGAAUUUUGGACAAUGGGCGAAAGCCUGAUCCAGCAAUGCCGCGUGCAGGAUGAAGGCCUUCGGGUUGUAAACUGCUUUUGUACGGAACGAAAAGGCUCUGGCUAAUACCUGGGGCACAUGACGGUACCGUAAGAAUAAGCACCGGCUAACUACGUG
RNAcentral lists this ribosomal RNA (482 nucleotides) under uncultured bacterium. Its description in RNAcentral is "partial 16S ribosomal RNA". It matches the Rfam family "Bacterial small subunit ribosomal RNA", at positions 30 to 507 of the family's 1533-position model. The record is from RNAcentral.